GAUAUCGAUCGUUCAUCCCCACAAACCCGAAUUUCAUCAACAAUCAUCAGGCAUGAGCAUAAUUUGGUGUAAAUCUUUGAUUCUUGCUUCCAAUUUAUGAUUCUCGAGGUAACAUAGUUGGAUUCACACCCAUCUCGCAAAUCCGGAUCGUAUCAUUUUUCUCAAACGUACAAGCUAACUUCUCUCAAACCCUAAAUCCGAAGACGCCAUUCAUCUUCAGCCGUUCAUCAUUGAUUCAAGUUUGAUAAACAAAGAUUUCAAGAUCAAUUCUACAAGGAAUAACACAUGUAAAGACAUUGCAACAUCCGUUACUAAGAAACCCUAAAGGGAGAGAAGCUAUAUUUGUAUAUCAAGAAUAUGUGUUGAUACGGAUUAGGCAGGGAGGAUUAGGAGGUGGUGUUGCCUCAGGGGUUUUGUUGAAAGGGGAUGACAAAAGAAGACGGUAAUGAUUUUGUUUUCUGUUCAUGUGAGGGUGGGGAAUUCUCAGAUCCGCCAUUUAUGGUGGUCUUUUCCCAGCUGGUGGUAUUGUUCAAAUUGUUGUGGUGGCUGGAGGUGGGGCUUGGUUGAAUAAGAGAUAGAUAAAGCACCGAUUACAGAGACCUUGAGCACAAGGGGUUGCACUCCUUGGUGGAUUCCGUUUGUCUUCUACACGCGGAUUCUUUUGAGUCUGGCCCGGUUUAAUUCGAUAAUCUUCGUUGUGACAGUGGGCUGUUCAGAUGGAGCAGCGGCGGUCGCCAAAAAGUGACACCCGACGAUUGAAUACGGAGCAACGUUUCAGGUAUUUAGGGGCUGUGUGGAUGGUUAAAAAGUCCUGAAAGGACAGCGGUAAUGGCUCUCAAAACUAGACAACAAAGUCACACUUUUAGGCGUGAUUUCGAGACAGCAUUGUGAGGUACAAUGCAGCAGUGAGUUGGGAUCUUUUGCAGUCGUUCGAGAGGUGCUUCACGGUCCGAAACUCUCUACAAACAACCACGACAAGUGUUGGGGCGAAUAUGUUUCUGAACUUGAAGAGAGGAAUAAUGAGGUAACUCAGUUACGGGUAAAGGUUGAAAGCUUUACUAUGCAAGAGAAUACAUUGGAUGAAAGAAUGAGGCAGAAAAGGUCUGUUUAGUGGCGUCAUGGUUUAGACAUGGGUUGGAUGGAAUUACGUGGGGUAUGGUGCUGGAAAAGACAGGUAUUAACUCACGAUGAAGCUGUUGAACUGCAGAAAAUGAUGGUUGUUCUGCUGAAUGUAUGCAUGUCUUUAACUAAGGAUCGCUGUUAAUGGGGUCUUCACUCAUCAACCGAUUGAAUAUAAAAAAAAUUAAGUAGAGACGAUGAAUUCAUCAAGUGAAGUCUCUGAAUUUUGCUUGAUCUAUAUUAUCUCAUAUUUACAUUUGUUGUUGUAGUUUGAGUGAGAAUGUUGUGUGUAGAGAUUCUAAGUGAUAUUACAGAAUUAAACUCUCUUACUUUCUAUAGAAUGAUGCCAAUAUGUUAUUGAAUAUUGUAGGAUAGUCGCAGUGGGAACUUAAAGAGGCUUUGAUGUACUAAAACUUAUCCAAAAAUUAAAGGUUUGCAAAGUUUGACUUUUUUCAGGUCAAAAUAGAUAAGUUUCAAAAUCAGUUGACAUGAUAUUUCUUUAAUU
This 1624-nucleotide long non-coding RNA is filed under the name Helianthus annuus (common sunflower). RNAcentral describes it as "hypothetical non coding rna". The record is from RNAcentral. Lineage: Eukaryota; Viridiplantae; Streptophyta; Magnoliopsida; Asterales; Asteraceae.